UACGUAGGGGGCAAGCGUUGUCCGGAUUUAUUGGGCGUAAAGAGCGUGUAGGCGGUUUGGUAGGUCCGCUGUGAAAACUCGAGCUCAACCUCGAGACGCCGGUGGAAACCAUCAGACUAGAGUCCGGAAGAGGUGAGUGGAACUCCUAGUGUAGAGGUGGAAUUCGUAGAUAUUAGGAAGAAACACCAGUGGCGAAGGCGGCUCACUGGUCCGGUAC
RNAcentral lists this ribosomal RNA (217 nucleotides) under uncultured bacterium. RNAcentral describes it as "partial 16S ribosomal RNA". It matches the Rfam family "Bacterial small subunit ribosomal RNA", at positions 524 to 740 of the family's 1533-position model. The record is from RNAcentral.